This 100-nucleotide ribosomal RNA is filed under the name uncultured bacterium. RNAcentral's name for it is "partial 16S ribosomal RNA". It matches the Rfam family "Bacterial small subunit ribosomal RNA", at positions 408 to 508 of the family's 1533-position model. The record is from RNAcentral.
AUGAAGCCUUUCGGGGUGUAAACCACUGUUGCCCGGGACGAAACUCUCCUUUCGAGGAGAUUGACGGUACCGGGUGAGGAAGCACCGGCUAACUCUGUGC